CAACUUUCAACAAUGGAUCUCUUGGUUCUCGCAUCGAUGAAGAACGCAGCGAAUUGCGAUAUGUAAUGUGAAUUGCAGAAUUCAGUGAAUCAUCGAAUCUUUGAACGCACAUUGCACCCUAUAAGGGGUAUGCCUGUUUGAGAGUCAUUUA
RNAcentral lists this ribosomal RNA (151 nucleotides) under Clavaria sp. JMB08061207. RNAcentral's name for it is "5.8S ribosomal RNA". It matches the Rfam family "5.8S ribosomal RNA". Rfam says of the family: 5.8S ribosomal RNA (5.8S rRNA) is a component of the large subunit of the eukaryotic ribosome. Lineage: Eukaryota; Fungi; Basidiomycota; Agaricomycetes; Agaricales; Clavariaceae. The record is from RNAcentral.